RNAcentral lists this non-coding RNA (31 nucleotides) under Mus musculus (house mouse). The record is from RNAcentral. Lineage: Eukaryota; Metazoa; Chordata; Mammalia; Rodentia; Muridae.
UGGAGUGAAGCAAAGUCCUCGAAGAGGCAGG